GGAGGGUAUAGCUCAGUGGAAGAGCACUUGCUUAUUAUGCACGAGGUCCUGGGUUCAACCCCCAGUACCUCUG
Non-coding RNA from Camelus dromedarius (Arabian camel), 73 nucleotides. Lineage: Eukaryota; Metazoa; Chordata; Mammalia; Artiodactyla; Camelidae. The record is from the annotation of a RefSeq genome assembly.